RNAcentral lists this unclassified non-coding RNA (425 nucleotides) under soil metagenome. RNAcentral's name for it is "partial contains 5.8S ribosomal RNA, internal transcribed spacer 2, and large subunit ribosomal RNA". The stretch from base 1 to 120 matches the Rfam family "5.8S ribosomal RNA", at positions 35 to 154 of the family's 154-position model. The record is from RNAcentral.
GAUGAAGAACGCAGCGAAAUGCGAUAAGUAGUGUGAAUUGCAGAAUUCCGUGAAUCAUCGAAUCUUUGAACGCACAUUGCGCCUUCUGGUAUUCCGGAAGGCAUGCCUGUUCGAGAGUCAUUAACAACCGUUUCGAUCCCUUUCUUUCAGAAAUUACAAAGAGGAAAAGGGUUUGGUUAUGGUGGAGGAGGGAAAGGGAGCGUUUAGCCUGUAAAAAAAGAGGCUGUGUUCCGCCUCCCCCCCAAAAUUGUACAGGCGGUCGUGUGCGCCCACGCAUCGAGGUGUUGUAAAAGCUGCCACGGCACUUUUCACCUGUGCAGUGCGAGAUUGGCCAGCCGGUUUAAAAACCCCUCCAAACAAUCAACGGUUGACCUCGGAUCUGGUAGGGAUACCCGCUGAACUUAAGCAUAUCAAUAAGCGGAGGA